Klebsormidium nitens is the source of this 2876-nucleotide non-coding RNA. The record is from Rfam. NCBI's taxonomy places the organism in Eukaryota, Viridiplantae, Streptophyta, Klebsormidiophyceae, Klebsormidiales, Klebsormidiaceae.
AAUGAGUUUGAUCCUGGCUCAGAAUGAACGCUGGCGGUAUGCCUAACACAUGCAAGUCGGACGCUGUGCUCUUUUGCUUUAUGCAAUUGCAUUCGGCGCAAAGAGGCACGGGGUGGCGAACGGGUGAGGAACGCGUGAGAAUCUACCAAGCAGACGGGGUCAAUCCCCCCUAGCCUUCUUGAAUCGAGAAGAAAAAAGCUUCAUUCGAAGCAUGCUUGAAUCUUGUUCCACUCCCUUUUGGGAGUGACUUUGUUCCAAGAGGAAGUUUACUUCGAACAGCGCUGCUUGAUGAGCUUGCGUCGGAUUAGGUAGUUGGUAAGGAAAUGGCUUACCAAGCCAACGAUCCGUAGCCGGCCUUUUCGGGUGAUCGGCCACACUGGGACUGAGAUACGGCCUAGACUCCCACGGGAGGCAGCAGUGAGGAAUCUUGGACAAUGGGCGAAAGCCUGAUCCAGCAAUACCGAGUGGGUGAGACGAAGGCUAAUUAGGUCGUAAAGCCCUUUCGUCGAGAAGAGACAAUGACAAGACUCGAAAAAGAAGCCCCGUCUAACUCCGUGCCAGCAGACGCGGUAAUACGGGGGGGGCUAGUGUUAUUCAGAAUAAUUGGGCGUAAAGGGUACGUAGGCGGUCAGAUUGAGCUCAGACCUAAGCCAUAGGCUUAACCUAUGGACGGUCUUGCAGCUGUUCUGUCUUUGAGUUGGAUAGGGAAGAGUGGAAUUUCUAGUGGAGAGAUUAAAUUCAUAGAUAUUAGAAGGAAGGCCGGCGGCGAAGGCAACUCUUUAGAUCCAGACUGACGCUAAGGUACGAAAGCGUGGGGAGCAAACGGGAUUAGAUACCCCAGUAGUCCACGCCGUAAACGAUGAGUGCUCGCCUUUGGUCUUUCGAUCAGGGGCUUAGCAAACGCGAUAAGCACUCCGCCUGGGGAGUACGAUGGCAACAUUGAAACUCAAAGGAAUUGGCGGGGGCCUGCACAAGCGGUGGAACAUGUGGUUUAAUUCGAAACAACGCGCAAAACCUUACCAGCCCUUGACAUAGAGCACAGCGCCCUCUGAGAGGGGAGGCACUAUACAAUGCUUUACAGGUGCUGCAUGGCUGUCGUCAGCUCGUGUCGUGAGAUGUCGGGUUAAGUCCUAUAACGAGCGAAACCCUCGUCCCUAGUUGCAAAGUGCGGCUUGUUCAUCAAGCUGUUCACAGAACUCUAGGGAGACUGCCGGCGAUAUGCCGGAUGAAAGUGGGGAUAAAACAAAAGGCGCGAAAAGCAACUCCCACUAGGGAGGAAAGCGAAAAGCUCAAAAAAAGAGUUUUAGCCAGAGCAAUCAACUCUUUUUUUGAGCAAGGCCACGCGCCCUUACUUGACAUUGUCCCCGUGCAUGGUAACAUGCAAGAACAAAACUGGGUGAAUUGCAAAGACAACCUUCUACAGCUUUCUUAUAGUUGCUGAGAAGGUCAAUCUGCAGCGAAGCAUACCGAACGGAAAAGGCCUUAUGGUUCAUUUGUGAACCGUAGGCUUAUAGGAGUAGGUUUGAACGUUCAACGACUAGAGAGUGAGGAUAUCCUACCAAUAAACUCUCCACGAGCGCCCGGCAACUCUUACAAAAAACAACAUAGCAGAAACGGAAAGCUAAAUGAGAUCUUUUUUUCACCCUUCUUGUUCCUAAUACGCCCCGCCAUACAUACAGUAUACUCGCUUUCUUUUCAUUCAUAACGCAUGAUAUACAAAACACCACCCUGGAUCUUAGGUACAUUAUUAGGAGAUGGUCAUAUAGACCCCUUUGGUCGCCUCUUUAUUGAACAUUCAACCAAGCAAAAAGCAUACUUCUUUCAUAAAUUUUUCAAGCUGCAGCAUAUGAAGGAAUGAAAUAAAAAAAAAGUUUUGCCUGCAAAUUACAAAGGAAUUGAUAGGACACAAAUUCAUAGGAAAACAAAGAAGGCAUAUACAACUUUUUGUGUACGAUCACAGCGUGUGUUUCAAAUUGAGCGAAAAUCGUUUUAUCCCGAAAAAGAAAAAUGAAUAAAAUCAAAAAACACAUUUUUUUGGAUUCAAUGGGGGGCGGUCGCCCCACUCAUUCCUCUAGGCAUUGAACAAUGGCUCAAUGAAGAGGCACUGGCGUUUUGGUAUAUGGAUGAUGGCGGUCGUAAUAGUCAAUAUGGGGCUGGAAUGGUUUUUGAUCUUCUUUUUCAGAGAAUGACCGCGCUACUUUAGCACAAGUAUUGAACAAUCGAUUUGAUCUUGCAACGAGUUUUCAUAAUAGGGCUGAAAAGAACGUAAAGCUUUAUAUCCGUACUAGUAGUGCACAAAGAUUUUGUGAUCUUAUUAGACCAUUCGUUAUUCCAGAAAUGUUGUAUAAGCUUACUAAACCACUUCCGGCAGGAGGUGACUCCGUUCCACCGACAACGUAAGAGUUGAUGAAAUAGUCUGACCUUUGGGGUAACCUAAAGAAAUAAGAGAUAAAGAGCUCUUAGAAUAACAACAAAUGGACGUCAAGUCCUCAUGGCCUUUAUGGGCUGGGCUACACACGUGUUACAAUGGCAAGCACAGAGGGAAGCAAUGCCGCAAGGCGGAGCGAAUCCUUAAAUCUUGUCCCAGUCCGGAUUGCUCGCUGCAACUCGCGAGCAUGAAGUUGGAAUCGCUAGUAAUCGCGGAUCAGCACGCCGCGGUGAAUAUGUAACCGGGCCUUGCACACACCGCCUGUCACAUCCUGGGAAUUGGUUGUGUCUGAAUAAGGUUCAAACGUCAUUGAUUGAUAAGGCUUGCAAUGCUCUUGCUGAGCAAGGCUUGCACGCAAAGGCGGCUAGAUCUUACACGGCACGGUCAGUAACUGAGAUGAAGUCAUAACAAGGUGGCCGUAGGGGAACCUGCGGCCGGAAUGACCCUA